AUGCGUGCCCGUCGCACACCCACCUCCCCCGACCAUGCCGUCACAGCCUCCUCGCCCAGCGCCGCCACCCCUUCUCAACCCCUCCUCGCCCAGCGCCGCCACCCCUUCUCCGCCUCCGGCGCUGCCCGCCGGCCUGCUCACCCGCGGCACUUAGUCAGGAACCCUAGGAUGGCCGUGCCCAAAAAUUUACUUUACUGUGCCCUCCUUCAGUUUUGGGUGUUCGAUUUGGGAUCUAGAGUUCUUCCCCGCUUGAUUGACUCCAAUAGUUCGAGUGUUUCCAUCAACCCGGAGUCAAAAUCAAGAGCUGUGAACAGGGAGGUACUCAGUGAGCUAAUCAAGUUGCACGGGAAGACAUCCCUUGGCGGCAAAUUGCCUGCCUAUGAUGGAAGAAAGAGUCUCUACACUGCAGGCUCACUCCCUUUUGAGUCUGAGGAGUUCUCUGUUACACUGGUUGAUCCCGAAAAGAAAGACAAAGAAAAGGCUGAAAGGGAGUACAAGAUCACCAUUAGGAUUGCUGGGAGGACAGACCUGUACCACCUCCAGCAGUUUCUCAAAGGAAGACAGAGGGAUAUGCCUCAAGAAACCAUCCAAGUUCUUGAUGUUGUCCUCAGGGAGUCACCAUCCUGGAACUAUGUCACAGUGUCCAGAUCCUUCUUCUCCACCACCUUUGGUCACAGAGGAGACAUUGGUGAAGGAUUAGAGUGCUGGAGAGGUUACUACCAGAGCUUACGCCCAACUCAGAUGGGGCUGUCACUCAAUAUAGACAUAUCUGCAACAUCCUUCUUCAAGCCUGUGACAGUGGUCCAGUUUGUGCUAGAGUUCCUCAACUUACGUGAUGCCUCGCGCCCUCUGACAGACAGGGACCGUAUUAAGAUAAAGAAAGCACUCCGUGGGGUGCGUGUCGAAACAAACCACCAGGAAGACCAAAUCAGAAGAUAUAAGAUAACAGGGAUUACUCCUGUUCCCAUGAGCCAGCUCAUAUUUCCUGUUGAUGAGAGAGGAACAAGAAUGUCAGUUGUUCAUUACUUCAUGCAAAGAUACAACUACAAUCUGCAGUAUACUUCUUGGCCCUGCUUGCAGUCUGGAAGCGAUGCUCGGCCUGUGUAUCUGCCUAUGGAGGCGUGCAAGAUUGUUGAAGGGCAAAGGUACUCUAAGAAACUGAAUGACAAGCAGGUCGCCAACAUACUUAGAGCUACCUGUCAACGUCCCCAGCAGAGGGAGCAAAGCAUUCGUGAGAUGGUUCUGCAUAACAAGUAUGCUGAGGACAAGUUUGCUCAGGAGUUUGGAAUCAAUGUCUGCAGUGACCUUGUCUCUGUUCCAGCCCGUGUGCUGCCUCCCCCCAUGAAAAUGAUCAAUGGAGGAAUCAUAGACAACUGGGCCUGUGUGAGUUUUUCACGCAUGCGUCCUGAGGAGGUACACAGGUUCUGUUGUGAUCUGAUUCAGAUGUGCAAUAUGACUGGAAUGUCUGUCAAUUCAAGGCCACUUGUAGACAACCGAUCAGCGAGCCCCAACCACAUUGAGAAUGCUUUGAGAGAUGUCUACAGGAGGACAACGGAAAUGCUUCAAGCAGGGACACGAAAAACAGCUACAACUGUUAAUUGGAAAAUCAAGAAGGUAUGCGAGACUGACCUUGGGAUUGUGUCUCAGUGUUACCUGCCAAGAUAUGCUGCCAGACCGAACAAGCAAUAUCUGGAGAAUGUUGCACUCAAAAUCAAUGUGAAGGUCGGACUGCCACCUUCCAUUGAGAAGGCCUUUGCUCGAUUUGGUGUUCCUGCUGUUACAGAAGUCCCAACAAUCAUCUUUGGUGCUGAUGUUACACACCCCCCACCUGGAGAGGACUCCACAUCAUCUAUUGCUGUGGUGGUGGCAUCAAUGGACUGGCCAGAGAUCACCAAGUACAGAGGUCUUGUCUCUGCUCAACCACACAGGCAGGAGAUAAUCGAAGACCUCUUCAGUGUCAGCAAAGAUCCGCAGAGGGGCAAUGUCAAUGGUGGCAUGAUCAGGGAGUUACUGAUUGCCUUCCGCAGGAAGACAGGCCGGAGGCCUGAGAGGAUACUCUUCUACAGGGAUAGUGUGAGUGAAGGCCAGUUGAGCACUGUACGUUUUCAUGAAAUGAAUGCAAUCAGGAAGGCCUGUGCUGCUUUGGAGGAGGGGUAUAUGCCCCAAAUUAUAUAUAUUGCUCUUGAUAAAUGGCACUAUACUCAUGCUCGUUGCACCCGUGGGGUCUCUGUUGUCCCACCGGCGUACAACGCCGACCUUGCCGCAUUCCGUCCGCGCUACUACGUGGAAGGGGACAGCUCGGACGGCGGGUCAACCCCCAGGAGCAGCAGGAAGAAGGCGAUCCUGGGAGAGGGCCCUGUGGAGGUGCCAAAUAUCAAGGAGAACGACGUCAUGUCCCCUGUUAGUUCAGAGACAGGCGGUGUACUUCAUUUACACACCACCAAUAUUGGCACAAUCAGGGAGAUACUGAUUGCCAUCCGCAGGAAAACAGGCCGGAGACCUGAUAAAAUAAUCUUUCAUAGUGAUAGGGAAGAUGAAGAGCAUCCGAGCCUUCUCCUUGUCAGCGUAUAUGGCACGAUCCGAGAAGCCUGUACAUCAUUGGACGAAGGUUAUGUUCCGUUGAUUGUUAUUGAUGAUUCUCAAGAAAAAAAUCGCAGUCUGUCCCCUGAUAUAAAUGAAAAACCGGAAAAUAAAUCAGCUUCACAAGUAAUGACACAUCUGACUGUUGACUCCCCAAUUGGACCUAUUCCAAUGCAAAUUGAUCUUAAUAGUAAGUCCUACAAGCUUAAACAGAAACUUGAAGAAGUCUUGGAUACUUCUUUGGAGCACUUUUAUAUGCGCGGAAACGGGAUAACUUUGAAGAAUAAUGACCCGUUAAAGACAUACGGUCUUAGGGAUAAUUCAACAAUUCAGUUACUGCCAAGACUUCUUGGGGGCUGUCGUAGGGGUUCAAAAAGGCCCCGGAUGGAACCAGAGCCUCCUAAAUUACUGCGUUUAAAACCAUUAACUCAGCAGUUUACCCUUACUGAGUAUGUGGACAAAUUCUCGCAACUAUUCUUUGCAAGGAGAACACUACCACAUCCCGAAAUUGCAAAUCAAGAGCAGUUUCCAGUUUACUUCACACAUGUUCCAGUGCCACAAAUUUUAGGAAACUUUGUGGCCAAAGUUAUCCAGGAACUUUUAAAAGACGAAGUUAACAAGUCAAAAGACGAAGAUAAGUUUGAUAUUGAGGAGGCGAUCACCGAGUGA
RNAcentral lists this ribosomal RNA (3249 nucleotides) under Triticum aestivum (bread wheat). RNAcentral's name for it is "partial small subunit ribosomal RNA". The record is from RNAcentral. Lineage: Eukaryota; Viridiplantae; Streptophyta; Magnoliopsida; Poales; Poaceae.